Molecule: ribosomal RNA, 422 nt
Filed under: uncultured bacterium
Lineage: Bacteria
Description: bacterial SSU rRNA
Rfam family: Bacterial small subunit ribosomal RNA
Source: RNAcentral
UAUUGCACAAUGGGCGCAAGCCUGAUGCAGCCAUGCCGCGUGUAUGAAGAAGGCCUUCGGGUUGUAAAGUACUUUCAGCGAGAAGGAAGGCGAUAAGGUUAAUAACCUUGUCGAUUGACGUUACUCGCAAAAGAAGCACCGGCUACCUCCGUGCAAGAAGCCGCGGUAAUACGGAGGGUGCAAGCGUUAAUCGGAAUUACUGGGCGUAAAGCGCACGCAGGCGGUCUGUCAAGUCGGAUGUGAAAUCCCCGGGCUCAACCUGGGAACUGCAUUCGAAACUGGCAGGCUAGAGUCUUGUAGAGGGGGGUAGAAUUCCAGGUGUAGCGGUGAAAUGCGUAGAGAUCUGGAGGAAUACCGGUGGCGAAGGCGGCCCCCUGGACAAAGACUGACGCUCAGGUGCGAAAGCGUGGGGAGCAAACAGG